CAGCAGCCACGGUAAUACAGAGGGUGCGAGCGUUAAUCGGAUUUACUGGGCGUAAAGCGUGCGUAGGCGGCUAAUUGAGUCGGAUGUGAAAUCCCUGAGCUUAACUUAGGAAUUGCAUUCGAUACUGGGAAGCUAGAGUAUGGGAGAGGAUGGUAGAAUUCCAGGUGUAGCGGUGAAAUGCGUAGAGAUCUGGAGGAAUACCGAUGGCGAAGGCAGCCAUCUGGCCUAAUACUGACGCUGAGGUACGAAAGCAUGGGGAGCAAACAGGAUUAGAUACCCCCGUAGUCCCUGUCUCUUAUAC
This 301-nucleotide ribosomal RNA is filed under the name uncultured bacterium. RNAcentral's name for it is "partial 16S ribosomal RNA". It matches the Rfam family "Bacterial small subunit ribosomal RNA", at positions 509 to 807 of the family's 1533-position model. The record is from RNAcentral.